AUGAUUCAAAUCGCCCGAUCGGUAACAAUGCUUGCAUGCAUCGGCUUCAUGGCCGUCAGAUCAGAUUUUAAUUGGAUGGCUCAAGAGCAACGUAUUGCCUCGACUAGUUUUGCGCAACUUAGUUGUUGUUGCAAUCCCCCUCCGCAACAAGUGAUGUGUUGCGGGAUCUGGAUCUGGAUCCUCUUGCGCUCUCCCGAGCUCCUCGUCAAGCCAACACCUCCAUGCAUUGCUUCGACCACCGCCAUUGCUACUCGCUCUAGGCAGCACACUUACGAGGUCGCCAAUAGCACGCGGACGAGGCCGAAGCCGGUGACAAGCACGCUGACGAGGUCACCUCUCUCGGUAUCCAUGUGUCCGCUCACAAUUAGUGGCCAUGGUUGCUCGAGCGCGCACGCCAAAGCUUCGCUCCCGCCGCUGUCGCCCAACUAUGCCGCUCCGGCCCCAUGCUGCAUCGCCUCCACCACCACCAUCAUCGGAUGCGCAACACCCCUCCUUCCUUCCCCAUCAAAACCGAGCUUCUUGACUACGACGCUUGACCUGGAGAUUGCUUCAGAUCACACGGCUCGUAAACCGGCGGAUCUUUCCACCGGCCGAUGUGUAAAAAUACGAGCCGGUUGGAACCCACGAACCCAACGCACGAUUUCACUCUCCACACAAUUGUUCGCUCCUCCCCAUCCUGAACUCUUUCCCUCCACCGGCACGCGCUUGCCGCUGCCGCCGCCCCACCUCCACCUCCGAUUCUCCCUCAGCCCAUCCCGCCCUCUCCUCUCCCUACACCCGCCGCUUCUCCUCCGUGACGUGUGGCCCAGCCACCGCUCGCCACCUCUCCCUCCGCUGCGGCCGCCGGGGCCACGCUCCCGUGCGCACCGCGCAAUGCAAGUCCGCCGGGCCGGAGGGGUUCAAGGAGGAGCUGUGCAGGCCACUGGAGCUUCUCCUCGGGGAUCUCUGGUGGUGGGCGAAGGACCACCCGGAUCUCCCCGCGCUGGUGGAGGUGGUAAUGGACCUCGGCCACACCCGCUCGCCCUCUUCCCUUCAGGCGACUUCCUCCUCUCCCACCACCUCCCUCAUAAUCCCUUGGCACCGACACGAUCGCAUAUUGGGUCGUUGUUCUCUGCAAAUAUGAGCAGUUCUCGGUGCACCCAAGCGGCGCUGCCGACCGCAGCCUUCAACGCCUCCAGUGGACGUUGCCGCGCUCAGCUCAGGGGAGAGCGGUCGCAUCCCACCGCCACAUCGGCUCCGGGCGAAAGCCACGCCGCCGGAUCCCCCCACGCACCACCUCCUGCAGGUCUUCGUCCGUUAGGUGCCUUCAUGCUUCCGCUGGUCCACUUGUUGCACGGACGCAUCGGCUCAGAUAUUAAGGAAGAUAUAGCAGAGAAGGAGCUGGCAUCUUCGUGCCCUUCCAACUGGAGAACCUACGUGGAUGAUAUCGACAAGCUCGAUGGCCACAAUGAACCAGAUGUUGUCAACUACAUGGAGGACAUCUAUAAGUACUACAAGGCAGCACUGAGGAAGAAGAAAUCUCUGAAUUACGCUAUUCUUUUCCCCAGGUUCUUAUUGAUCUCUUCUUUGCAUGAGCUUCUGAACACACAUCUAAUGCUUCUAAGAAGCAAAUUCCAUACUCUAGCAGUGACUUGCUUUCCGGUGUUUUGGUGGGAGAAAAUUUUCAGAAGCCAAGUUGUGCUGGACAUAGCAAAGUUCAAGACUGGUCGCAUGAGCUGA
This 1719-nucleotide ribosomal RNA is filed under the name Triticum aestivum (bread wheat). RNAcentral's name for it is "partial small subunit ribosomal RNA". Lineage: Eukaryota; Viridiplantae; Streptophyta; Magnoliopsida; Poales; Poaceae. The record is from RNAcentral.